RNAcentral lists this ribosomal RNA (492 nucleotides) under uncultured bacterium. RNAcentral's name for it is "partial 16S ribosomal RNA". It matches the Rfam family "Bacterial small subunit ribosomal RNA", at positions 29 to 507 of the family's 1533-position model. The record is from RNAcentral.
AGUGAACGCUGGCGGUAGGCCUAACACAUGCAAGUCGAACGGCAGCACCGUAAGAGCUUGCUCUUACGGGUGGCGAGUGGCGGACGGGUGAGGAAUACAUCGGAAUCUACUUUUUCGUGGGGGAUAACGUAGGGAAACUUACGCUAAUACCGCAUACGACCUACGGGUGAAAGCAGGGGAUCUUCGGACCUUGCGCGAUUGAAUGAGCCGAUGUCGGAUUAGCUAGUUGGCGGGGUAAAGGCCCACCAAGGCGACGAUCCGUAGCUGGUCUGAGAGGAUGAUAAGCCACACUGGAACUGAGACACGGUCCAGACUCCUACGGGAGGCAGCAGUGGGGAAUAUUGGACAAUGGGCGCAAGCCUGAUCCAGCCAUACCGCGUGGGUGAAGAAGGCCUUCGGGUUGUAAAGCCCUUUUGUUGGGAAAGAAAAGCAGCAGGUUAAUACCCCGCUGUUCUGACGGUACCCAAAGAAUAAGCACCGGCUAACUUCGUG